UGAUAAAACAAUUCUGUUGCCUUUAUGGCGAUGGUUAAACCCUCUGUGAACCAAAACCUUUAUUAGCUUCGGCAGCGUGCAAAGCAGGUUUGCGCCUGUUUUGUCUGUUAGCCUGCCGGCAGCACCAAAUCAAACUUUUGUUACCAAAAUUUAGUCUGAACAAUCAUUUUCGAAUGAAAAAUCA
Molecule: unclassified non-coding RNA, 184 nt
Filed under: uncultured Ascomycota
Lineage: Eukaryota; Fungi; Ascomycota
Description: sequence contains ITS1
Source: RNAcentral